RNAcentral lists this ribosomal RNA (509 nucleotides) under uncultured bacterium. RNAcentral describes it as "bacterial SSU rRNA". It matches the Rfam family "Bacterial small subunit ribosomal RNA", at positions 30 to 526 of the family's 1533-position model. The record is from RNAcentral.
AUUGAACGCUGGCGGCAGGCCUAACACAUGCAAGUCGAGCGGCAGCACAGAGGAACUUGUUCCUUGGGUGGCGAGCGGCGGACGGGUGAGUAAUGCCUGGGAAAUUGCCCGGUAGAGGGGGAUAACCAUUGGAAACGAUGGCUAAUACCGCAUAACCUCGCAAGAGCAAAGCAGGGGACCUUCGGGCCUUGCGCUACCGGAUAUGCCCAGGUGGGAUUAGCUAGUUGGUGAGGUAUGGGCUGACCAAGGCGACGGUCCCUAGCUGGUCUGAGAGGAUGAUCAGCCACACUGGAACUGAGACACGGUCCAGACUCCUACGGGAGGCAGCAGUGGGGAAUAUUGCACAAUGGGCGCAAGCCUGAUGCAGCCAUGCCGCGUGUAUGAAGAAGGCCUUCGGGUUGUGAAGUACUUUCAGUAGGGAGGAAGGUGGUUAAGUUAAUACCUUAAUCAUUUGACGUUACCUACAGAAGAAGCACCGGCUAACUCCGUGCCAGCCGCCGCCGUAACAC